UAUUUCCGGGAAGACUCUCACUAGACAAGAAACUAAAGCCAUCUAAGAAUUACAGAGGAAUGAAGAAUUUUUGAUAAAGGAAGCAGACAAGGGUGGCAAUGUGGUACUGUGAUUACUUUCAGAGGAAGUAUCUGCAUAUAUUGGAUGCAGCACAAGAAUUUGGAAUCAGCAGUAAAAGGGAACACCUAUUUAUAAAGCAUCUGGUUACAUCUUUGCCAUCAUACAUCCGGGACUCAAUGCACCUAAUAC
Molecule: long non-coding RNA, 249 nt
Organism: Hyla sarda
Lineage: Eukaryota; Metazoa; Chordata; Amphibia; Anura; Hylidae
Exons: 3
Source: RefSeq, a predicted model, not a curated record